GAUCAACGCUGGCGGCGUGCCUCAGACAUGCAAGUCGAACGAUUAAAGCUCUCUUCGGAGAGUGCAUAAAGUGGCGCACGGGUGAGUAACACGUAAGUAAUCUACCUUCGAGUGGGAAUAACAUCGGGAAACCGAUGCUAAUACCGCAUAAUGCAGCGGCAUCGCAAGAUGACAGUUGUUAAAGAUUUAUCGCUUGAAGAGGAGCUUGCGGCAGAUUAGCUAGUUGGUAAGGUAAUGGCUUACCAAGGCUACGAUCUGUAACCGGUCUAAGAGGACGGUCGGUCACACUGACACUGAAUAACGGGUCAGACUCCUACGGGAGGCAGCAGUCGGGAAUUUUGGGCAAUGGGCGAAAGCCCGACCCAGCAACGCCGCGUGAAGGAUGAAGUAUUU
Molecule: ribosomal RNA, 393 nt
Filed under: uncultured bacterium
Lineage: Bacteria
Description: bacterial SSU rRNA
Rfam family: Bacterial small subunit ribosomal RNA
Source: RNAcentral